CAGAUCGAAAGCUUGCUUUUGAUGCUGGCGACCGGCGCACGGGUGAGUAACGCGUAUCCAACCUUCCCUAUAGUAGAGAAUAGCCCGGCGAAAGUCGGAUUAAUGCUCUAUGUUGUAUUUAGAAGACAUCUGAAGAAUACCAAAGGUUUACCGCUAUAGGAUGGGGAUGCGUCUGAUUAGGUAGUAGGCGGGGUAACGGCCCACCUAGCCGACGAUCAGUAGGGGUUCUGAGAGGAAGGUCCCCCACAUUGGAACUGAGACACGGUCCAAACUCCUACGGGAGGCAGCAGUGAGGAAUAUUGGUCAAUGGACGAAAGUCUGAACCAGCCAAGUAGCGUGCAGGAUGACGGCCCUAUGGGUUGUAAACUGCUUUUAUAUAGGGAUAAAGUCGGGGACGUGUCCCCGUUUGUAGGUACUAUAUGAAUAAGGACCGGCUAAUUCCGUGCCAGCAGCCGCGGUAAUACGGAAGGUCCAGGCGUUAUCCGGAUUUAUUGGGUUUAAAGGGAGCGCAGGCUGAUGAUUAAGCGUGACGUGAAAUGUAGCCGCUCAACGGCUGAACUGCGUCGCGAACUGGUUAUCUUGAGUGAG
This 588-nucleotide ribosomal RNA is filed under the name uncultured bacterium. RNAcentral's name for it is "bacterial SSU rRNA". It matches the Rfam family "Bacterial small subunit ribosomal RNA", at positions 64 to 650 of the family's 1533-position model. The record is from RNAcentral.